Molecule: ribosomal RNA, 500 nt
Filed under: uncultured bacterium
Lineage: Bacteria
Description: partial 16S ribosomal RNA
Rfam family: Bacterial small subunit ribosomal RNA
Source: RNAcentral
GAUGAACGCUAGCGGCAGGCUUAAUACAUGCAAGUCGAGGGGCAGCACAGGUAGCAAUACUGGGUGGCGACCGGCAAACGGGUGCGGAACACGUACACAACUUACCUUAGAGUGGGGGAUAGCCCAGGGAAACUUGGAUUAAUACCCCAUAAAACAGGGGGCCCGCAUGGGCAUAUUGUUAAAGAUUUAUCGCUUUAAGAUGGGUGUGCGUAUGAUUAGGUAGUUGGUAGGGUAAAGGCCUACCAAGCCGACGAUCAUUAACUGGUGUGAGAGCACGACCAGUCACACGGGCACUGAGACACGGGCCCGACUCCUACGGGAGGCAGCAGUAAGGAAUAUUGGUCAAUGGACGGAAGUCUGAACCAGCCAUGCCGCGUGAAGGAUGAAGGUCCUCUGGAUUGUAAACUUCUUUUAUAGGGGGCGAAAAAGGGCCUUUUUAGGUCAACUGACGGUACCCUAUGAAUAAGCACCGGCUAACUCCGUGCCAGCCGCCGCAGUAA